AUUUAUCUCCCUUCUCUCUAGAACCUUCUGGUUCACUAAUUCUUCUCUGACGAGCUUCAUCGUCUCUCCGACCAUGCUCCAUCCUCACUUCUCUCGACCUUUACCCACCAUGGGAUCCUGUAGCGUUGCUUCUCUCCAAAGUUUGAAACCCCAGAAGCUUCUACCAUGAAGAUGGUCGCUGAAUCCUCGCCGGGGGUCCGAUUCCGGCCUUUCUCCGAUGAUUUUGGUUCGAUGAUGCUAAAAACACCAUAAUCUUUGAGCUUCACAGCCAGGUUUCUCUUACCCAUCUCACUAGCUUCUUAAGAAAACCCUAAUCGUAACCCAAGCCUCUCAAAUCUCUGAUUUCCUUAAAAAUUUUAACUCACACAUUCAUGUUUUCACUAUUUCUUAUGAUUAUCCC
Molecule: long non-coding RNA, 400 nt
Filed under: Nicotiana benthamiana
Lineage: Eukaryota; Viridiplantae; Streptophyta; Magnoliopsida; Solanales; Solanaceae
Description: long non-coding RNA (NBEN_LNC039196)
Source: RNAcentral